RNAcentral lists this transfer RNA (134 nucleotides) under Microscilla marina ATCC 23134. It matches the Rfam family "tRNA". From Rfam's summary of the family: Transfer RNA (tRNA) molecules are approximately 80 nucleotides in length. Their secondary structure includes four short double-helical elements and three loops (D, anti-codon, and T loops). The record is from Rfam by way of RNAcentral. Lineage: Bacteria; Pseudomonadati; Bacteroidota; Cytophagia; Cytophagales; Microscillaceae.
AAAGCAGUCGUUUAACGGUUAGGACGCUGGAAAUUUUUAAGUUUCGAAAUUAUCGCUCACCUUGGCAGGUCAAAUGAAACUUACUUCUAAAAUGUUCCAUUCCAGAAAUGCAGGUUCGAGUCCUGCCUGCUUUG